RNAcentral lists this long non-coding RNA (227 nucleotides) under Homo sapiens (human). Its description in RNAcentral is "non-protein coding lnc-DISC1-7:1". Lineage: Eukaryota; Metazoa; Chordata; Mammalia; Primates; Hominidae. The record is from RNAcentral.
CGGGGACUGAGUUCUCGGAGAAGGGACCCAAUAGGUAAAUGACUCCAGAAGGUCUUCUCCCAGCAGCCAGAAUAAGACAGGAAAUGAAGCCGCUUUAUUGACAAGAAUGGGUUUCAUUCUGGCAACCUUGAUUAACACAAGAGGAUAUUGAAAGGAUUUGAAGAAAGUUAUCCCGCUGAUUCCUUAACAAGAUGGUAAGCACUUAAAAGAUCCAAUUUCAUCUUCUU